RNAcentral lists this ribosomal RNA (1000 nucleotides) under Caryospora aquatica. RNAcentral's name for it is "SSU rRNA". It matches the Rfam family "Eukaryotic small subunit ribosomal RNA", at positions 97 to 1105 of the family's 1831-position model. Lineage: Eukaryota; Fungi; Ascomycota; Dothideomycetes; Zopfiaceae. The record is from RNAcentral.
CUCAUUAAAUCAGUUAUCGUUUAUUUGAUAGUACCUUACUACUUGGAUAACCGUGGUAAUUCUAGAGCUAAUACAUGCUAAAAACCCCGACUUCGGGAGGGGUGUAUUUAUUAGAUAAAAAACCAACGCCCUUCGGGGCUCUUUGGUGAUUCAUGAUAACUUAACGGAUCGCAUGGCCUUGCGCCGGCGACGGUUCAUUCAAAUUUCUGCCCUAUCAACUUUCGAUGGUAAGGUAUUGGCUUACCAUGGUUUCAACGGGUAACGGGGAAUUAGGGUUCGGUUCCGGAGAGGGAGCCUGAGAAACGGCUACCACAUCCAAGGAAGGCAGCAGGCGCGCAAAUUACCCAAUCCCGACACGGGGAGGUAGUGACAAUAAAUACUGAUACAGGGCUCUUUUGGGUCUUGUAAUUGGAAUGAGUACAAUUUAAACCCCUUAACGAGGAACAAUUGGAGGGCAAGUCUGGUGCCAGCAGCCGCGGUAAUUCCAGCUCCAAUAGCGUAUAUUAAAGUUGUUGCAGUUAAAAAGCUCGUAGUUGAACCUUGGGCCUGGCUGGCCGGUCCGCCUCACCGCGUGUACUGGUCCGGCCGGGCCUUUCCUUCUGGAGAGCCGCAUGCCCUUCACUGGGUGUGUUGGGGAACCAGGACUUUUACUUUGAAAAAAUUAGAGUGUUCAAAGCAGGCCUUUGCUCGAAUACAUUAGCAUGGAAUAAUAGAAUAGGACGUGCGGUCCUAUUUUGUUGGUUUCUAGGACCGCCGUAAUGAUUAAUAGGGAUAGUCGGGGGCAUCAGUAUUCAAUUGUCAGAGGUGAAAUUCUUGGAUUUAUUGAAGACUAACUACUGCGAAAGCAUUUGCCAAGGAUGUUUUCAUUAAUCAGUGAACGAAAGUUAGGGGAUCGAAGACGAUCAGAUACCGUCGUAGUCUUAACCGUAAACUAUGCCGACUAGGGAUCGGGCGAUGUUACUAUUUUGACUCGCUCGGCACCUUACGAGAAAUCAAAGUC